CGGAGUAGCGCAGUUGGUAGAGCAACUGAAUCGUAAUCAGUAGGUCGCGGGUUCAAAUCCUGUUUCCGGC
Molecule: transfer RNA, 70 nt
Filed under: human gut metagenome
Rfam family: tRNA
About the family: Transfer RNA (tRNA) molecules are approximately 80 nucleotides in length. Their secondary structure includes four short double-helical elements and three loops (D, anti-codon, and T loops).
Source: RNAcentral